This 497-nucleotide ribosomal RNA is filed under the name uncultured bacterium. RNAcentral describes it as "partial 16S ribosomal RNA". It matches the Rfam family "Bacterial small subunit ribosomal RNA", at positions 28 to 507 of the family's 1533-position model. The record is from RNAcentral.
GAUGAACGCUGGCGGCGUGCCUAAUACAUGCAAGUCGAGCGAACAGACGAGGAGCUUGCUCCUCUGACGUUAGCGGCGGACGGGUGAGUAACACGUGGAUAACCUACCUAUAAGACUGGGAUAACUUCGGGAAACCGGAGCUAAUACCGGAUAAUAUAUUGAACCGCAUGGUUCAAUAGUGAAAGACGGUUUUGCUGUCACUUAUAGAUGGAUCCGCGCCGCAUUAGCUAGUUGGUAAGGUAACGGCUUAUCAAGGCGACGAUGCGUAGCCGACCUGAUAGGGUGAUCGGCGACACUGGAACGUGGACAGCGUCCAUGCUCCUGAGGGAGGCAGCAGAAGGCAAUCUUCGGCAGUAGUCGGAAGCCUGACGGAGCGACGCCGCGUGAGAUAUAAAGGUCUUCGGAUCGUAAAACCCUGUUAUUAGGGAUGAACAAAUGUGUAAGUAGCUGUGCACGUCGUGACGGUACCGAAUCAGGAAGCCACGGCUAACUACGUG